This is an RNA transcript of Bacillus rossius redtenbacheri, 2090 nucleotides long. RefSeq lists it as uncharacterized. The record is from RefSeq and is a predicted model, not a curated record. NCBI's taxonomy places the organism in Eukaryota, Metazoa, Arthropoda, Insecta, Phasmatodea, Bacillidae. The transcript is spliced from 3 exons.
CGGACAAAAUAAGAACUAACAACUUGCGCAUGCGCAGUGGGAAGCUGUCACGCACGCACACAUUCAUGUUUUUUUUUGUUUGUUUAUGUUUGGUAGCGGUAACGUAACCAUGAAAAUGUUUUUUCUUGUCAAAGCAUAAUGGAGUUUGGAUCAGCUUCGGAUGUAAUACUUAUUUGCUGCUAAUCUUAUGACGUGAUAUACAUUGUGCGCAGGUGCCUCACCCUGGGACCUCGCUGGCGGCUGGCGGCUGGUGGAUGGUGGAUGGUGGAUGGCCGGCGAGUGUGUCCGCACGGCCCCGUGGCCAGGGGUUUAGCCGAGGGGCGCACCUCGCCUUGACCCUCCAGGUCAGGGCUGCGCAGAUAGCUCCUUGCCCCCGCGCGCGGCGCAGCAGGCGGCCCCACGCCGCACCACCGUCACGCCACUGUCCGGCUGCCAAUGCACGCUGGCCGCUGACGUCACCCCCACCGCCGAGCGGUCCGGGGUCCAUCCCGCUGUUGGGAAACGUGGCGGUGGGAUUGCUCUUGGUUUCACCCGACUGCCCCAAUGCUCCAGCCUCGUGGUCGGUGGUGACCUCCAUGUGGACGACAUGUUAGGCAACAGCUCAUUGCUUCCCCGCGCCCGGCCAGACUCUGCCCCGCGCGCUCGAGGCCCGGCCAUCUGCGGCGCGGGCGCUCCCGGCUCGAGCCGCGUCACGGGCCGGUUGGAGCCAGCUGUGGCCUUCUAGUGCCGAGUGUAGCUAGUUGGAGCGAUUAGUGCCAGCUGUAGCCAGUUGGAACCAUUGGAGCCCAUUAGAGCCAACUGUAACCAAUUGGAGUCCGUUACAACCUACUGGAGUCAGCUGGAGCUAACUGUUACCAUUUAUGGCCAACCGUAGCUAGUUGAAGCCAUUGGAGCUAACUGUAGCCAGUUGGAGCCAACUGUAACCAGUUGGAGCCAACUGUAGUCAGUUAGAGUUACUUGGAGCCUUUUGGAGCCACUGAAACCAGUUUGAGCCAUUUGGAUCCAUGGAUAAAAGACUUUUGGUCCUACAGUAAGAAUUAAGUGUGUUGAGAAUUAUUACUGUGGGACUCACUGUGAGAACAUUAUUGGCCUAUCAUCUUUUGGAAAGUAUAAAUAUACGUAGCCUCCUAUUAAAAAUAAUAUUUAUACUAUGAAUGUAUGUGUAUAAGUAAUGCUCAGGAGGCUCAAAGGCAUGCGCACAUCCGUGGCUGCGACUUCAAUGGACGAAGCGGCAACAACUAGCAGUGUUCCAUCAUCAAACUAUCUGCACAUGGAAAUGCUAAAACCUUGCAUAUGCGUGGAUGUUUGACAAGUGAUUGCAUUAAAUCUGAAUGUGUUACAUACCAAUGCAGCAUGUGUCUUAGCGAGUUUAUCCACUUUGGAAACUUGAAAAGGCAUGUGAAGAUAAGCAAAGAACACAUUCAUAAGGACCUAAUUUUAAUUUUUGCGGCAAGGCCUUUACAUAGACGUUCAGUACCUCUUAAAUCCAUGAUAUAAGUGUAUUCUUGUUUAAAUAUAUUUUUAAAAUUUUUUUAUUACUAUUUUAUAACUUAACCUUUACCAGGUUUGAACAAAGGACUACGGACUCAAUGGUGUAAGGUCCUUUUUUUUAAAUAACUUAUUUACAAAUAUAUUUGAGUUUUUGGUAACAAGUAAUCAUGGAGUCAAAAUCCAGUGUCACAUUUAAGUUGUGACAGUCAAAAUUCAAGAUCCAAGCUCAACGGCUUGAGCGGAGUCUUAUGCCCCUUUGAAUUUUUUGGCGGAAAAAAUGGGAAAUUUUCUCUAAAAAUGGAACAUUUUCCCUCAAAAUAGAGAAAUUUUGUGCCUUUUUCAUCACUUUUGUGAAAAUCCAGGAAAAUCUUGACACCAAAAUUCAAUAUGGUGGCCGGUCACUGACCCACAACUUGCACCUCAGCCUGAAGUCUGUGCCGGAACAUAAUAAACCAUACUACCAAAACUAUUUAUUGUGAUAGUGUUUGUUUUUACUUGUUUUGUGUCGUACUUGUUCUGUGUCGUGCCCACCUCUAAAGUCCCAAGACUGUCGGUGGGCAUGUAACAAAUUUAAAUAAAAAAAUUAAUAAAUAACUAAA